CCAGACUCCUACGGGAGGCAGCAGUGGGGAAUAUUGGACAAUGGGGGCAACCCUGAUCCAGCGACGCCGCGUGAGUGAAGAAGUAUUUCGGUAUGUAAAGCUCUAUCGAUAACGGAAGAAGAUGACAAGCCGUUAAGGAAGAAGCCCCGGCUAACUACGUGCCAGCAGCCGCGGUAAUACGUAGGGGGCAAGCGUUAUCCGGAUUUACUGGGUGUAAAGGGAGCGUAGACGGCGUAUAAAGUCUGAAGUGAAAACCCGCAGCUCAACUGCGGAGUUGCUUUGGAAACUUAUAAGCUGGAGUGUCGGAGGGGUAAGCGGAAUUCCCAGUGUAGCGGUGAAAUGCGUAGAUAUUGGGAGGAACACCGGAGGCGAAGGCGGCUUACUGGAAGAUAACUGACGUUGAGGCUCGAAGGCGUGGGUAGCAAACAGGAUUAGAUACCCUGGUAGUCCACGCAGUAAACGAUGAAUACUAGGUGUCGGGAGGGAAUAACCUUUUCGGUGCCGUCGCAAACGCAAUAAGUAUUCCACCUGGGGAGUACGUUCGCAAGAAUGAAACUCAAAGGAAUUGACGGGGGCCCGCACAG
RNAcentral lists this ribosomal RNA (584 nucleotides) under uncultured bacterium. RNAcentral describes it as "bacterial SSU rRNA". It matches the Rfam family "Bacterial small subunit ribosomal RNA", at positions 331 to 928 of the family's 1533-position model. The record is from RNAcentral.